UUUGCAACCGAAUCGGCGUAUUGAAUUCGCACUAGGAUUACACUUCAGCCAUUCGACUAUUUAUUACGAUUUUCGCGGAAGUAUAGCGCCUGUGAUGUGGACAAAAUGAUCGGGGAUCUCUUGAUAUUCGGGACCUUACUCAUGAACACUGGUGCUGUGUUAAACUUCAAACUUAAGAAAAAGGAGUCACAAGGACAAUAUGGAGAUGAACCUCGUGGACCAACUACAGGUGUGUGAUGCAUUAAAAAACCUCACCUCAGGAAACUUCACAGAGUGACUAUUCAUGAAAAUGAAAGUAAGGAUACUCAAGAUGUAUGCAUUGAGAUAGAUCAUCUAUUUUUAAAGAACAUAGGCUGCAGGCUAUUGCUGCAUCGUUUUUACCCCGUCCUCUGAGCCUUUAAAUCAAAUCAAAUCAAAUGUAUUUAUAUAGCCCUUCGUACAUCAGCUGAUAUCUCAAAGUGCUGUACAGAAACCCAGCCUAAAACCCCAAAACA
Oncorhynchus kisutch (coho salmon) is the source of this 494-nucleotide long non-coding RNA. RefSeq lists it as uncharacterized. The record is from RefSeq and is a predicted model, not a curated record. The transcript is spliced from 3 exons. Lineage: Eukaryota; Metazoa; Chordata; Actinopteri; Salmoniformes; Salmonidae.